RNAcentral lists this ribosomal RNA (305 nucleotides) under uncultured bacterium. RNAcentral describes it as "bacterial SSU rRNA". It matches the Rfam family "Bacterial small subunit ribosomal RNA", at positions 333 to 655 of the family's 1533-position model. The record is from RNAcentral.
UUCUUCCUACGGGACGCAGCAGUGGGGAAUAUUGCACAAUGGGGGAAACCCUGAUGCAGCAACGCCGCGUGAGUGAAGAAGUAUUUCGGUAUGUAAAGCUCUAUCAGCAGGGAAGAAGAUGACGGUACCUGACCAAGAAGCCCCGGCUAACUACGUGCCAGCAGCCGCGGUAAUACGUAGGGGGCAAGCGUUAUCCGGAUUUACUGGGUGUAAAGGGAGCGCAGACGGCAGUGCAAGUCUGGAGUGAAAGCCCGGGGCUCAACCCCGGAACUGCUCUGGAAACUGUGCGGCUAGAGUACUGGAGG